UAACCGGUUGAACAACUGAACC
RNAcentral lists this microRNA (22 nucleotides) under Dasypus novemcinctus (nine-banded armadillo). RNAcentral's name for it is "Dno-Mir-582-v2_3p (mature (guide))". RNAcentral also lists the same sequence under 4 other names. The record is from RNAcentral. Lineage: Eukaryota; Metazoa; Chordata; Mammalia; Cingulata; Dasypodidae.